AUUGAACGCUGGCGGUAGGCCUAACACAUGCAAGUCGAACGCGAAAGUCCUUCGGGAUGAGUAGAGUGGCGGACGGGUGAGUAACGCGUAGGAAUCUAUCCUGUAGUGGGGGAGUAACGUUUCGAAAGGAACGCUAAUACCGCAUACGCCCCAACGGGGGAAAGGCGGGGGAGUCUUCGGACCUCGUGCUAUAGGAGGAGCCUGCGUCGGAUUAGCUAGUUGGUGAGGUAAAGGCUCACCAAGGCGACGAUCCGUAGCUGGUCUGAGAGGAUGAUCAGCCACACCGGAACUGAGACACGGUCCGGACUCCUACGGGAGGCAGCAGUGGGGAAUAUUGCGCAAUGGGCGAAAGCCUGACGCAGCCAUACCGCGUGUGUGAAGAAGGCC
This 387-nucleotide ribosomal RNA is filed under the name uncultured bacterium. RNAcentral's name for it is "bacterial SSU rRNA". It matches the Rfam family "Bacterial small subunit ribosomal RNA", at positions 29 to 416 of the family's 1533-position model. The record is from RNAcentral.